Molecule: long non-coding RNA, 268 nt
Filed under: Elaeis guineensis (African oil palm)
Lineage: Eukaryota; Viridiplantae; Streptophyta; Magnoliopsida; Arecales; Arecaceae
Description: long non-coding RNA (EGUI_LNC068455)
Source: RNAcentral
AUCCUAGACUCUUACGGGAUUUUGCCUUUCUUCAUAAUUCUACGUCCCAAAACAUGCAAAAAAAAUAUGGGAUGCCCCUUCUCAUAUUUUUUUCAUGGUAAAUCAGUUAUCUAGCUGAUCUCCCAUGAAAAAUCUCCUCAAAAUAUUGCACAUAUAAGGAAAAAAAAAAUUUAUUGGUAUGGAGAGAUUGAUUUGGAUGAGAACAGAUUCUCUUGAUAAAGAAUAUUUUGAAAUCUAAUUUCAGAACCUUUCUUUUAUGGGUUGGCAC